UUUUUUUCAAAGAACUAAGCAAAAGGCACUCAUAAAGCACUUCGAUCACAUAAACUCCAACUCCAUCUAAGGAAUCCAAUAUAUUCAUGGUGAUAGCCGACCUCUUAAUCUCAAGUUCACGCGCCCCACGCACAGUAAGCCAAAGCCUGAGACAUCAGGGCUUGAAGGCGGAGAAAGAUUUGUUCCCAUUGGCCCAAACGGGUAGUUGGGAGCCUGGGUUCCCUCAAAGCCGCCUCCGGGAGACCAGAAGGCAGCGGGGUUUUAUGGAGCUAGGGGCUUGGCGGGAGGAGCUUCCGGCAAACACAGGGGUCACUUCCCAUAAGCCCCUGGGAAAGCUGACUCCCGGGGCAAGGCUGCUGAGGGCCGGCCAGCGGGAUGAACCUCCCUGAGGGCGUUCUCUUUCUUCCGCAAAAGGAGCUCACAAAUCCUCAAGACACCGAGUCACCCCUCAAGUUAACAGGAAAAAACAGCAAAUUGCUUUACUAUCUGCAGUACCCCUCAGGCACCCGGCUUCAAUGGCACAACCUGAAGAUUCCGAGCUAAACUGAUUUUCCUCAAGUUAAGAAUGCAUCAGGGGCCGCCCGGGCCGAGUGGUUGAGUUCCAGCGCUCCAAUGCAGUGGCCAAGGGCGUCACGGGUUCGGAUCCUGGGCGCCGACAUGACGCUGAUCGUCAGGCCACGGUGAGGCGGCGUCCCACAUGCCUCAACUAGAAGGACCUGCAACUAAGAUAGACAACUAUGUACUGGGGGGAUUUGGGGAGAAAAAGGAAAAGAAAAAAAAGAAUGCAUCAAACCAAGUUUGAAUUUUUACCCCCCAGUUAUUUGCAACAUGACCAAUUCUCAUGGAUGAGGGAGGCAAAGGCCCUUCAGGGCAAGACGUGGUGAGAACUUAUCAAACCUACUGUCCUCAGAGAGCACAGUACAGGGAUUUUCCUCGUGAGGGCCCCCGGGUCCCUCACCGCGAAAGCAGCGAGGAAGGAGCGAGAGGUGGCUACACGGCGACGACGCAGAAAGACGCGGCGGGAAGGAAGAAAAAACAGAAAACCAAAGGGGGAAAAAAUGGAGCCUACUGAGGAGACGCAGGGGCGGCUUCAGCUCCAGCGGCGGCGACGGCGACAGCACUGGCGGGGGGCUGCGCAGCACCAUGGGGCCUAGAAGGGCCUAGAAGAGGCGCGGGGCGGCGCUCCCCGGGUCGGGAGAAGCGCAGGGCGCGGAGGAGCCGCGGCGUGUUGGCGUGCUCCUGCCCGGCGCGGGGACGGGAGAGUGGGCCUGGAUCCCCUCGAUAGGGGCCCGCAGGACGCGCGACAGGCCCUCGGCGGAGCGGGCCUCCCCACGACGCGCUCGCACGAUGUCGCAGGAACCCAGGAAGUCGACGCGACUGUCGGCAUCGCUGGUUUCGGAGUCGCUGAAGAAGUGCCGGAAGUCGCCGCCGCCGUGCUUCCUCAGGCCGUCGGCGGGCGGCCCCGCGGGCUCCCUGUUCCCGAGGACACCAGCUGGUCUUGGACGGCGCGGCACGUGCAGUGGCCGCCAGCUGGAUCUCCUCCAUCUCUCGAGUCGUGGCCUCCAGGAUGGCGGCAAGCUUCUUUCCCUGGUCACGGCGAAGCUGGGCCCGGAUCCUCUCACGCCGCCCCUUCUUUCGCGCCUUCUUUGUGCCCUUGAGAGGCGGGGCGGCUGGGCCUCGAGAUCCAUCUUGGCAAGAUCUUCAGUGACAGAAUCGAGGUUGCUGUCAUCAGGAAAAUUCUUUUGGAGCUUCUCUAGUUCCUGCUGGUGCCUGGGCUCCGUUGUGGCCUCAAGACUGGCCACGUCGAGGAGCAGCUGCUUCCUUCCUUUCCGGUUGCUCCUGGGUCGGGCCUACAGCUCUUUCUUCUUGAGGUGGUGGCGUCGUACCAUCCGCUGGUGCUCCUUCUGCCGAUCUUUCCUGAUAUUUAACGGCAGGCCAGAAUGGAAGUUUGGCGGCAGCUAAAGUACCGGCUGCUGUUCAGACUAACGGCGCAAACCGCGAUCAGGCCACGGGUCCUCAGCCUCCCCUGGCCGCUGCAGUCUGUAAAGCGUGACUUUUGCAAUGGGACAGGAUCCUUCAGGAGGUCCUGAGCCACUGGAAUACUCAGAGCCUGGGGACCUGUGUGACAGGAUGGAGGAGGGAUUUCUACGUUGAGCCGGAGGGUGGACGGUUUCUUUCUAGGGCCCUUAUGUCUCUGAGGGCGUGUGGCUACUGGGACCACCUUAGACUCUGCCCCAGGGGGGCUGUUAUUGGCCAUCUAGGGCUCCUCGGGUGUCACCUUUGGGGCUGAUGUCUGCUUCAUGUCAGGUCUACCCCCAGCACUUUGCCACAGACCUGAUCCGCGUUACUCCCAGAAAGGGCCCAACUUCAGCUCAGAGAAUUCCUACAGUCUGGCCCCUUCAGAUCACCCCCUUUCUCUUUGCCCCACUUGCUUGGCUCCCAGUCUUGGUUCCCCCUUCCCAUUUUGCCCCUUUUGGAUUUGCUGACCCUAGCAUGGGCCCACACAUCCACAGGACCCUGCUUCUGCUACAGGACUCUCAGCCGCCGGCCCUGCAGCCCUGGGCACAAGACACUGCGCUUCCUCUCCUAGUCAGAUGUCUAAGACUUCACUGCCCAUCCCUGUCCUGGAGGACUCAGACUCUCUUGGACAGAAAUCUACGUCCCCGUGAAAUGCUGCCGUGUCUUUCUGAAAGACAAGUUGUGGCAUGCAGGAUGCUGCCUCAGCAUGGCUUGACGAGUGGUGCCAUGUCUACACCCAGGAUCCGAACUGGUGAAACCUUGGGCUGCCAAAGUGGAGUGCACGAACUUAACCACUCGGCCACGGGGCCGGCCCCAAAGAAAUGAAAAUAAACCUUUGCUCAUGGGAGAGGGAGUGAAUGCCAGUCGAGACUCCACUACAUAAAGACAUUGCUGCUCACAGAUGCUCUGCUGAUCCCUCAAGAAUCUUGAAAUUGGUGAUAGGGUCUCCAUUUUACAGGUGAGGUAACUAAGGCUGAGGAUGGAGGAAGUCAGGCACACAUACAGUCUUACAAGGUAUUUUGGUUUAAGUGUAGAGUCUGGAGCCAGACAGCUUGGGUUUGAAUCCUGGUUCUGCAGUUUUCUAGCUGUGUGACCUUUGGUAAGUCAUUCAACCUCUGUUUUAUCCUCUGUAAAAUGGAAAUGAUAGUACCCGAUAGGGUUAUAAGGUUCACCAACUUAAUUAUAGAAAGCAUAUUGAACAUCAGUACCUUGGCACAGAAUGUGAGCUAAAUACAUUUCAUCUAUAUUAUUAAAAUCAUUAUCAAUGUCUGAACUAAGUUUGAAACACUAUAGGAAUUUGACUUAGCUAAGUAGGAAAGCAAAACUAAGUUCUCUUUCACUUUCUCCUGUUACCCGCGUACAUGUAACAAUAUUUUCGCCACUUCCUGGAAAUGGCUCUGUUCUAGCAUUUCAACAUAAUCCAGGAGGUAAGAUUUCAUAAUCGGAGAGUACAGAUAUAUGCCAAACCCAUUAAUCCUGUUUAGAGCCCUG
Molecule: long non-coding RNA, 3510 nt
Organism: Equus asinus (donkey)
Lineage: Eukaryota; Metazoa; Chordata; Mammalia; Perissodactyla; Equidae
Source: Ensembl